AUUGAACGCUGGCGGCAGGCUUAACACAUGCAAGUCGAGCGGGGGAAGGUAGCUUGCUACCGGACCUAGCGGCGGACGGGUGAGUAAUGCUUAGGAAUCUGCCUAUUAGUGGGGGACAACAUCUCGAAAGGGAUGCUAAUACCGCAUACGUCCUACGGGAGAAAGCAGGGGAUCUUCGGACCUUGCGCAUAUAGAUGAUCCUAAGUCGGAUUAGCUAGUUGGUGGGGUAAAGGCCUACCAAGGCGACGAUCUGUAGCGGGUCUGAGAGGAUGAUCCGCCACACUGGGACUGAGACACGGCCCAGACUCCUACGGGAGGCAGCAGUGGGGAAUAUUGGACAAUGGGGGGAACCCUGAUCCAGCCAUGCCGCGUGUGUGAAGAAGGCCUUAUGGUUGUAAAGCACUUUAAGCGAGGAGGAGGCUACUUUAGUUAAUACCUAGAGAUAGUGGACGUUACUCGCAGAAUAAGCACCGGCUAACUCUGUGCCAGCCGCCGCAGUAA
This 501-nucleotide ribosomal RNA is filed under the name uncultured bacterium. RNAcentral describes it as "partial 16S ribosomal RNA". It matches the Rfam family "Bacterial small subunit ribosomal RNA", at positions 30 to 523 of the family's 1533-position model. The record is from RNAcentral.